Molecule: RNA transcript, 1471 nt
Organism: Eucalyptus grandis
Lineage: Eukaryota; Viridiplantae; Streptophyta; Magnoliopsida; Myrtales; Myrtaceae
Gene name: protein argonaute 4B-like
Exons: 4
Source: RefSeq, a predicted model, not a curated record
AAAAUAAGGUUAUUUGAAUUAUCUGCCACCAAUUAUUGUGUUCAAUAAGUCUGUUUAUGCUAUCUUUUCACUCUUCUGCAGAAAUUUGUUGAGCCAACUAAGAUACAUAAAUGGGCUGUGGUGAACUUCUUUGCUCGGUGUGACAUGCGUGGGCUUAUAAGAGACCUGACUAGAUUAGCUGAAAUGAAAGGACUUCUCACCGAACAACCUUUUGACGUGUUUGAGGAAAGCCCCCAAUUCAAAAGAGCCCCUCCUGCUGUUAGAGUGGAUAAAAUGUUUGAGGAGAUACAGGCUAAACUACCUGGGGUGCCGCUCUUCCUCAAAAGACUAAAGUAUAUCCUUAUCAACCCCUGAUGCGCAUUCCUAAUUUGAACGUCAGCAUGCCGAGUUAUUAAGCUGUUUAGUUAUCCUGUGCAGCAAAAGCAGCAUGGCUCUGUCACUCUUUUAGAGAUGGGAUACUCAAUCCAAUUGGAGACAGGGUUUGGCAAUCAAAAUUGGUUAUGACAAAAGCCCCUGCAUUUCAGUUGCCAACUCCCUUAUCGCAUUCUAUUUUCAGUGUGGACACAGUGAGGAUGCCGAGGCUAUUUUUAUUGGAGCAAUGACUCUCCAUGAUGUUGUUUUUUGGAACACGAUGAUUGAUGGUUAUGCCUCAAACGGAAUGAUUCUGGAAGCUUUUGAUAUUCUGCAUGAAAUGCAGUUAAUAGCGUCCAUCCAGCCUAAUUCAGUGACUCUUCUUACUCUAAUUUCGAUUUGUGCAGAUGCGAUGCUACUGACAGAGGGGAAAACACUUUAUGACUACAAUACUCACAGAGGGAUGGGACUUGAUCCUCGGGUGACUAACAGUCUUGUGGAUAUGCAUAUGCGAUGUGGUGCUGUGAGGAAAGCUGAGAUUUGCUUGAUUCCACUGCAGAGAGAGACUUGAUCUCAUGGAACACAAUGAUCUCUGGGUAUUCCCAGAAUGACCUAUCGGAGAAAGCCCAAAGUUUAUUCAAAGAAAUGCUGCUAUUGUGCUCAGGAUGCAGCUUACCUACUCUACUAGCCAUUCUUCCUUCCUGUAAUUCCCCUGAAUACCUCAGAUUUGGUGAAUCAAUCCACAGUCUGCAGUUGAAACCUGGAUUUUCACACAGCAUUUUUGCUUUAUAUUCAGUCAUGUACAUGUAUGUUGUUAGUGGAGAUAUUAAAGCAGCAUGCAAGUUAUUGACAACACAUUCAGUUCACGAAGAUCUCACUUGUUGGAACAAGUGCAGGCUGCUCAAAAAGUGGCUUCUUUUGGGAAGCUUUAGUGAUAAACAUCAGGUCUCUUUUGAUUCCAUCACACUUAUCAAUGUUUUAUCGGCUUGUAGAAAUCGUCGGCUGUUUCUUGAGGGGAGAUUGAUCCAUGGGCUUGCUCUCAAAACUCCAUUAGGAUCAGACACCCGUGUGUGUAAUGCAAUUAUUACUAUGUAUGGACAAUGCGCAGAUGUUGCCAGUG